RNAcentral lists this ribosomal RNA (253 nucleotides) under uncultured bacterium. RNAcentral describes it as "partial 16S ribosomal RNA". It matches the Rfam family "Bacterial small subunit ribosomal RNA", at positions 524 to 776 of the family's 1533-position model. The record is from RNAcentral.
UACGUAGGGUGCGAGCGUUAAUCGGAAUUACUGGGCGUAAAGCGUGCGCAGGCGGCUUUGCAAGACAGAUGUGAAAUCCCCGGGCUCAACCUGGGAACUGCAUUUGUGACUGCAAGGCUAGAGUACGGCAGAGGGGGAUGGAAUUCCGCGUGUAGCAGUGAAAUGCGUAGAUAUGCGGAGGAACACCAAUGGCGAAGGCAAUCCCCUGGGACUGUACUGACGCUGAUGCACGAAAGCGUGGGGAGCAAACAGG